GGGGGAUUAGCUCAGUUGGCUAGAGCGCCUGCUUUGCAAGCAGGAGGUCAUCGGUUCGACUCCGAUAUUCUCCA
This 74-nucleotide transfer RNA is filed under the name Persicobacter psychrovividus. RNAcentral describes it as "tRNA-Ala". It matches the Rfam family "tRNA". From Rfam's summary of the family: Transfer RNA (tRNA) molecules are approximately 80 nucleotides in length. Their secondary structure includes four short double-helical elements and three loops (D, anti-codon, and T loops). Lineage: Bacteria; Pseudomonadati; Bacteroidota; Cytophagia; Cytophagales; Persicobacteraceae. RNAcentral also lists the same sequence under 7 other names. The record is from RNAcentral.